AAACAACUAAACUAAGGACCGGACGGUCCUGCAUAAUUCUCAGGCACGNCUUCCACAGCAUCCUCCAGAGUGCCUUCCAAAGCAACUUCUAAGGUGUCCUCCAAAGUACCCUCUACUCACACCCAAAAGGAUGAUCAUUGNAGCGAAGAGAAUAACCGGACGGCAACAUGGAUAAAGACAGAACAGAUAAGGGUAAGCUUAUGUAAAUUUAAUUUAUCAUUUCGUCAUACAAGUAAACAUACAGACUCAAACCAAUCAAUCAUGCAAGCGUACAAUUUCAAUACAAUCAUACUAUAUUCCUUAAAUCAUGACUGACCACUAAGACACUGUCCGGACGGUAUGAAUGUGUAGCUCGGUCGUCCCUAGCACCCGGUGUGGUGUAGUAACUGUAUUUCCUUAUCAGCUGCCACCCGAGGUUAGUCCUCAAACGGUUAUCUAUUCAUAUAACCGCGGACCUCCUGCCAUUCCCACACAUGAGUGACCUUCCUCUACCUGAGGAAACGACCUCACGGAAUAUCAGGAUCAGGACGACACCUGAGUCAUUCCCACGUUCAUACUUUACCAAUCAUCACAAAUUCAUGAGUUAUUCCGCCAGUGGAAUUCUCUUACUUAGUCAAAUUCAACAAUUGUUCAUUAUUACUUCCCAGUAGUUAGGGUGUUGAGAAAAGUAUCAAAUAUCCAAGAUUGAAUCAUACAUAAUAGUGACCGAACGGUUUAGUCGGAAUGGGGAAACUGAGUAUCAAGGAUUCAAGUAAGUGGCCGGACGGUCACAUCCAAGGUGAGAUUAAAUAACAGAAGAAUGUCAAAUGGUUGAUAGGAUAAUUUGGCAAAGAAUGAAAUCUUAACUCAAGGGUUGACUAUAAGUGAUAGUCAUCCGAANGGUUUGGCAAGAGUAUUAUUAUAAAAUAGACACUAAUAAUGGUCGAAGGCUGGUCUAUGACCGAACACUUAUCGGACCGAACGAAUUGAGAAAGAAGAAAC
RNAcentral lists this long non-coding RNA (981 nucleotides) under Vigna radiata. Its description in RNAcentral is "long non-coding RNA (VRAD_LNC004106)". Lineage: Eukaryota; Viridiplantae; Streptophyta; Magnoliopsida; Fabales; Fabaceae. The record is from RNAcentral.